Molecule: ribosomal RNA, 233 nt
Filed under: uncultured bacterium
Lineage: Bacteria
Description: partial 16S ribosomal RNA
Rfam family: Bacterial small subunit ribosomal RNA
Source: RNAcentral
GAUGAACGCUGGCGGCGUGCCUAAUACAUGCAAGUCGAACGCUGCUUCUCCCACCGGAGCUUGCUCCACCGGGAGAAGCGGAGUGGCGGACGGGUGAGUAACACGUGGGUAACCUGCCCUUCAGCGGGGGAGUAACACUUGGAAACAGGUGCUAAUACCGCAUAGGUCUUUUGUCCGCAUGGAUGAAAGAGGAAAGACGGCGAAAGCUGUCACUGAAGGAUGGACCCGCGGUG